RNAcentral lists this small RNA (349 nucleotides) under Arabidopsis thaliana (thale cress). RNAcentral's name for it is "ATSL075700". The record is from RNAcentral. Lineage: Eukaryota; Viridiplantae; Streptophyta; Magnoliopsida; Brassicales; Brassicaceae.
UACGCCAUAUGAGAUCGCUGCUAGCUUUAACACGAAAACGAUCAUCAUAAAAUUUCCGACGAGCUUCUUCGACGGCAGCUAGUUCCUCCACUGUGCCGGCGUCCGGAUCAAACUCCCAUGUCUGUCUUCCGAGGAAGUUGUUGGUACUGAACAAGUAGGGCUCUUCUUUGUUUCCAUUUGCUAUCUUCAACUUCCACAUUCUUUAGACCUUAAUUAAUUUAAUAAUCUAAAGAUAUGGCAUAUUUUAUGCAUCGUGCAUUGAGAUGCACGUAAUAUAUGUGGAGAAAAUUAAAGAAGAGAAGUGUGUGAAAUUGAAUUCAUUUACACGCACACACAUACAUACAUAAUU